This 253-nucleotide ribosomal RNA is filed under the name uncultured bacterium. RNAcentral describes it as "partial 16S ribosomal RNA". It matches the Rfam family "Bacterial small subunit ribosomal RNA", at positions 524 to 776 of the family's 1533-position model. The record is from RNAcentral.
UACGUAGGGACCAAGCGUUGUUCGGAUUUACUGGGCGUAAAGGGCGCGUAGGCGGCUUGACAAGUCACUUGUGAAAUCUCCGGGCUUAACUCGGAACGGCCAAGUGAAACUGUCAUGCUAGAGUGCAGAAGGGGCAAUCGGAAUUCUUGGUGUAGCGGUGAAAUGCGUAGAGAUCGGCAGGAACACCCAGGGGGAAACCAGUGGACUGGGCAGGUGCUGACGCUGAUGUGCGAAAGCGUGGGGAGCGAACCGG